Molecule: long non-coding RNA, 1133 nt
Organism: Ictalurus punctatus (channel catfish)
Lineage: Eukaryota; Metazoa; Chordata; Actinopteri; Siluriformes; Ictaluridae
Source: Ensembl
CAUUAGUAUUGUAUUCCGUUUGUUUUGUUGUUUUUUUUGUUUUGUUUUGUUUUUUAACUCUGUUUUAUUCAUUGUGUUUUAAUAGUGGAGAGGUUUGUUUCACCGCUCAUCAUGGAAUUUAAAGGUGAGGUUUGUGCUUUUGGGAUUUUGUUUACAUUUUUCAGACCCAGAAAUUAGCUCCGCCCCCAGUUCAUGAGACAAGUCACGAGGAAUACGUGGAAUUUUUAUUAUUAUUAUUUUAUUAUUUUUUUAAAUAAACAAGGGUUGGUCUUUGUUAAAGAGAGGACAAGAUUCUGAGAUUCACCUCACAGGCAGCAGAGGGCACUACAAAUUGCAAACAGCUCCUUUAAAUCCGUUUGAACCAGUGAUCUGUUGAAUCAGACCUGUUCUUGGACUUCAAUCUACAGAAUUUAUUUCUAGCCUGAGUUUCACACAGCUGAUCUGGAGUCUGUGUGUGUGUGUGUGUGAGUGUGAGUGUGAGUAAUGUUUUCUGAAACAGAUUGACGAUGACCGGUGCUUGUCCGUCCCCGAGUGUUGUAAAGUAGAUGAUUCUGAACAGGAGGCAGAAGCCUGUGAUAUCGAUCCCACUAACGUCACGUACUAACGCCACCGUGUUUCACUCCACUUCAGAUGCUUGGACCCGUGUGUCGCGUCAGGCUCAUGUUUGGGAGUCUAGAAGAUCCAGUAAAGGCCCUCAGAUGAUCAGCAACAUGUAUUCAUCAUCACAAGACCAGUCCAGUCGCUUGGAUCCAUUACCUCUAUCGCUGUGUUAUUACAUUGCACCACUAGGUGGCGGAAGUGAGUUAGAAAUGGUUCCAGGUAUUCAAAGUAUGAUCACUUUUUUAGGCUUAAUCUUCAGUUUUAAGUCUAGUCUCAUUGUUUUUUUUGUUUGUUUUUUUUAAUCUUUCCAGCCUUCUCUCUCCCCCUUCCCUAUUUUAAUCUUUUUAGUUUUAUUUUAGUUUUUAAUUGGAUAUUUAUUCAUCAUAUAAUGUUAUAUUAAAUCUUUUCUUGUAUUAAAUGGUAUAUCGAUUGCCAUUUAUCCUUUAGCUGUUUUGUAUAAUUGUCACUUUGAACUGCUCGUUGUAUGAAAGGUGCUAUAUAAAUAAACACGGUGAUGACGAUGAUGAUUAUUA